GUUCAUAGCUCUCGCAGCCUAAGCCUUGCGGGAGCGGUUCCGGGCUUCGGAGCCCGGCAGAGCCAGAGGCGGGGUCUGACCCAGGUCCCGGCUUGCCUCACCUGGCACCGCCUUCUUCCGUGUCUUAGAGGCCGGUCCCCCCUUCCCCCACAAAGCCCUCAGAGGUUUACUUCAAGGGACGGUAAAGGGCGUCGGUAUUUCCCCGCGGAUCGUGGAAAGAAAAACAUUCCAGUAAGCUCCUCCAUAGCCUUGGGGAUCCUACCAUUUGGCAGUUGUUUCUGUAUGGUGACUGGAUAAAUUGAGGUUGGUUUUCUGAUAACCUUGGGCUGCUCAUCUUCAGUUUCAUAAUAUAAUGGUGAGGUGGAAAGGGCCUGUGUAACUUUCCAGCCCUGCCUCCUCUUCCCCCGGGGCCUCUCUUUGUUGGAUCCAAGGGAACUCUAUGAUCCAUUCAGACAGAUGAAAUGUGAACCCUGCCUUUUGAACCAACACUUGACUCCAACUGGACAUUGGACCAUAAAUACUGUACUUUCCCACUAGUUCACUGAGCACGCCCUACUAGCUCAUGGCACAUGCUCCAAAAACCCUAUAAAAUCUG
This 595-nucleotide long non-coding RNA is filed under the name Cricetulus griseus (Chinese hamster). Its description in RNAcentral is "lncRNA (ENSCGRG00015039787.1)". Lineage: Eukaryota; Metazoa; Chordata; Mammalia; Rodentia; Cricetidae. The record is from RNAcentral.